AACGAACGCUGGCGGCAGGCUUAACACAUGCAAGUCGAACGCACUCUUCGGAGUGAGUGGCAGACGGGUGAGUAACGCGUGGGAAUCUACCUAGUUCUACGGAAUAACGCAGGGAAACUUGUGCUAAUACCGUAUACGCCCUACGGGGGAAAGAUUUAUCGGAAUUAGAUGAGCCCGCGUGAGAUUAGCUAGUUGGUGGGGUAAUGGCCUACCAAGGCGACGAUCUCUAGCUGGUCUGAGAGGAUGAUCAGCCACACUGGGACUGAGACACGGCCCAG
This 278-nucleotide ribosomal RNA is filed under the name uncultured bacterium. RNAcentral describes it as "partial 16S ribosomal RNA". It matches the Rfam family "Bacterial small subunit ribosomal RNA", at positions 29 to 334 of the family's 1533-position model. The record is from RNAcentral.